Molecule: ribosomal RNA, 427 nt
Filed under: uncultured prokaryote
Description: bacterial SSU rRNA
Rfam family: Bacterial small subunit ribosomal RNA
Source: RNAcentral
UGGGGAAUUUUGGACAAUGGGCGCAAGCCUGAUCCAGCCAUGCCGCGUGAGUGAAGAAGGCCUUCGGGUUGUAAAGCUCUUUCGGCGGGGAAGAAAUUGCACUGGCUAAUACCUGGUGUAGAUGACGGUACCCGCAUAAGAAGCACCGGCUAACUACGUGCCAGCAGCCGCGGUAAUACGUAGGGUGCGAGCGUUAAUCGGAAUUACUGGGCGUAAAGCGUGCGCAGGUGGUUGUGUAAGUCAGAUGUGAAAUCCCCGGGCUCAACCUGGGAACUGCAUUUGAGACUGCACGGCUAGAGGAUGGCAGAGGGGGGUAGAAUUCCACGUGUAGCAGUGAAAUGCGUAGAGAUGUGGAGGAAUACCGAUGGCGAAGGCAGCCCCCUGGGCUAUUUCUGACACUCAUGCACGAAAGCGUGGGGAGCAAACA